AGAGGACCGGGAUGGACGUACCUCUGGUGUACCAGUUGUUCUGCCAAGGGCAUGGCUGGGUAGCUAUGUACGGAAUGGAUAAGCGCUGAAAGCAUCUAAGCGCGAAGCCAACUUCAAGAUAAGAUUUCCCACCGCAAGGGUAAGACUCCAGAAAGACUAUCUGGUUGAUAGGUCGAAGGUGUAAGUGCAGCAAUGUAUUUAGCUUAUCGAUACUAAUAGGUCGAGGACUUGACCAAU
RNAcentral lists this ribosomal RNA (237 nucleotides) under Clostridioides difficile. RNAcentral's name for it is "partial 23S ribosomal RNA". It matches the Rfam family "Bacterial large subunit ribosomal RNA", at positions 2686 to 2925 of the family's 2925-position model. The record is from RNAcentral. Lineage: Bacteria; Bacillati; Bacillota; Clostridia; Peptostreptococcales; Peptostreptococcaceae.